CAGUAGCCACGGGAAUACGAAGGGGGCUAGCGUUACUCGGAAUUACUGGGCGUAAAGGGCGCGUAGGCGGCGCUCCAAGUUAGGCGUGAAAGUCCUGGGCUCAACCUGGGAACUGCGCUUAAGACUGGAGUGCUUGAGGAUGGAAGAGGGUUGUGGAAUUCCCAGUGUAGAGGUGAAAUUCGUAGAUAUUGGGAAGAACACCGGUGGCGAAGGCGGCAACCUGGUCCAUUACUGACGCUGAGGCGCGACAGCGUGGGGAGCAAACAGGAUUAGAUACCCCUGUAGUCCCUGUCUCUUAUAC
RNAcentral lists this ribosomal RNA (301 nucleotides) under uncultured bacterium. RNAcentral's name for it is "partial 16S ribosomal RNA". It matches the Rfam family "Bacterial small subunit ribosomal RNA", at positions 509 to 807 of the family's 1533-position model. The record is from RNAcentral.